ACCAGGUUGAAUUCCUUGGCCAGGGGAGGA
Molecule: non-coding RNA, 30 nt
Filed under: Macaca fascicularis (crab-eating macaque)
Lineage: Eukaryota; Metazoa; Chordata; Mammalia; Primates; Cercopithecidae
Also listed under: 1 other name
Source: RNAcentral